AUCCUUCUGGUUCUAGAGCAUGAUGACUGGGUGGUCACUUGGCUGUGUGAGAUGGGUCUUCCCAGCUGUUACGACCUGACACAUGACCCCUCUGAUC
This is a small nucleolar RNA of Pseudophryne corroboree (corroboree frog), 97 nucleotides long. RefSeq annotates it as small nucleolar RNA U13. The transcript has a single exon. The record is from RefSeq and is a predicted model, not a curated record. Lineage: Eukaryota; Metazoa; Chordata; Amphibia; Anura; Myobatrachidae.